CCGGUCCUACGGGACGCAGCAGUAGGGAAUAUUGCUCAAUGGGGGAAACCCUGAAGCAGCAACGCCGCGUGGAGGAUGAAGGUUUUCGGAUUGGAAACUCCUUUUGUUAGAGAAGAUAAUGACGGUAUCUAACGAAUAAGCACCGGCUAACUCCGUGCCAGCAGCCGCGGUAAUACGGAGGGUGCAAGCGUUACUCGGAAUCACUGGGCGUAAAGAGCGCGUAGGCGGGAU
RNAcentral lists this ribosomal RNA (231 nucleotides) under uncultured bacterium. RNAcentral's name for it is "partial 16S ribosomal RNA". It matches the Rfam family "Bacterial small subunit ribosomal RNA", at positions 333 to 581 of the family's 1533-position model. The record is from RNAcentral.